AUAUGGUACCAUUCUUCCGCGAUGUGAGGUAACACAAUAUAAAAUAGCAUGGUAUAUUGUUUAACUUUUUCAUUUCCACUCUUUAUUCAUUCGUCUUGAUUGAUUUAAGCAUUGUGAUUAAUUGAAAUGUUUACUCUGAUAAACUGUUUUUUAAUGUAAGGGUCAUAUUCACAAUUUAUUAUAAUCAAGUGAGAUCGGGUGUCUUUCUGAAGAAGCAGUAAUUUGUACGACUUCAUCUAAGUUAAACCAAAAUAUGUGUUAUAUUAUAAUAACCAUUUAACUUCAAGUGGUUAUGAUCUUUAUACCGCCGCCACCUUUUGUAAGUUAAAUGGUCGUUCCCUUAUAACUGGCUAUACAUCUAAUGAUUAUGUAUUGUUAAUUUGUUAAUUGUUAGAUUAUUUUUAGUUUAAAAUAUUAGAUAUAAAUUUCUGUGUCCUUGACAUUAUUUCAACAUCUUAUUAUAUUGAAUAUGUUAAUCUUCAAAUAAGGAAAUGCAUGCGAAAGAAAGUUUUUAAGUUAAGUUAAAUAUACAUUUUCAAUUAUAGUAGUUCACUGAUUUUGUGAUUUAAUUUGUUCUUUACGAAUCGGCAGUUACUAUUUAUCUUCCAUAUGUUCCAGUGCUUGUUUUUUUUUUACAUUUUUCAAUCACGGUAUUCCCUCGCAUUUGCUCUGUGCCAAAAUUCUAAAGAAAGGUUUCGUAGUUGAUGUCACUGUAUACAGAAAAAUAUAUUGGGAAUGAUAUACGAGAAGACUCUUUUGGAUUGAAAAACAAACCGUUUCAUCUUAUGAAAAUUCUAUGUAAUUUGUAUGAA
RNAcentral lists this long non-coding RNA (812 nucleotides) under Mytilus galloprovincialis (Mediterranean mussel). Lineage: Eukaryota; Metazoa; Mollusca; Bivalvia; Mytilida; Mytilidae. The record is from RNAcentral.